CUGUUGGGUAGGGGAGCGUUGUGUAAGCGGAAGAAGGUUCAUCGAGAGGUGGGCUGGACGUAUCACAAGUGCGAAUGCUGACAUAAGUAACGAUAAAACGGGUGAAAAACCCGUUCGCCGGAAGACCAAGGGUUCCUGUCCAACGUUAAUCGGGGCAGGGUGAGUCGGCUCCUAAGGCGAGGCUGAAAAGCGUAGUCGAUGGGAAACAGGUUAAUAUUCCUGUACUUGGUAAAGCUGCGAUGUGGGGACGGAGUAGGUUAGGUUAUCGCACUGUUGGAUAUGUGCGUUUAAGUUGGUAGGUGGGAAGUUUAGGCAAAUCCGGACUUCCUUAACACAGAGAGAUGAUGACGAAGCUCUACGGAGCUGAAGUAACUGAUACCACACUUCCAGGAAAAGCCACUAAGCGAAAGGCUUUACUAAACCGUACUGAAAACCGACACAGGUGGUCAGGUAGAGAAUACUCAGGCGCUUGAGAGAACUCGGGUGAAGGAACUAGGCAAAAUAGCACCGUAACUUCGGGAGAAGGUGCGCCGGCGUAGAUUGUAAGGGCUAGCCCCUGAAGGUUGAACCGGUCGAAGAUACCAGCUGGCUGCAACUGUUUAUUAAAAACACAGCACUCUGCAAACACGAAAGUGGACGUAUAGGGUGUGAUGCCUGCCCGGUGCUGGAAGGUUAAUUGAUGGUGUAAUCGCAAGAGAAGCACCUGAUCGAAGCCCCAGUAAACGGCGGCCGUAACUAUAACGGUCCUAAGGUAGCGAAAUUCCUUGUCGGGUAAGUUCCGACCUGCACGAAUGGCAUAAUGAUGGCCAGGCUGUCUCCACCCGAGACUCAGUGAAAUUGAAAUCGCCGUGAAGAUGCGGUGUACCCGCGGCUAGACGGAAAGACCCCGUGAACCUUUACUAUAGCUUGACACUGAACAUUGAAUUUUGAUGUGUAGGAUAGGUGGGAGACUUAGAAGUAGUCACGCCAGUGAUUAUGGAGUCGUCCUUGAAAUACCACCCUUUAACGUUUGAUGUUCUAACGAAGAUGACGAAACGUGGUCUCGGACAGUGUCUGGUGGGUAGUUUGACUGGGGCGGUCUCCUCCCAAAGCGUAACGGAGGAGCACGAAGGUUUGCUAAUCACGGUCGGACAUCGUGAGGUUAGUGCAAUGGUAUAAGCAAGCUUAACUGCGAGACAGACAAGUCGAGCAGGUACGAAAGUAGGUCAUAGUGAUCCGGUGGUUCUGAAUGGAAGGGCCAUCGCUCAACGGAUAAAAGGUACUCCGGGGAUAACAGGCUGAUACCGCCCAAGAGUUCAUAUCGACGGCGGUGUUUGGCACCUCGAUGUCGGCUCAUCACAUCCUGGGGCUGAAGUAGGUCCCAAGGGUAUGGCUGUUCGCCAUUUAAAGUGGUACGCGAGCUGGGUUUAGAACGUCGUGAGACAGUUCGGUCCCUAUCUGCCGUGGGCGUUGGAUGAUUGAUUGGGGCUGCUCCUAGUACGAGAGGACCGGAGUGGACGCAUCACUGGUGUUCCAGUUGUCUCGCCAGAGGCAUUGCUGGGUAGCUAAAUGCGGAAGAGAUAAGUGCUGAAAGCAUCUAAGCACGAAACUUGCCAAGAGAUGAGUCAUCCCUGACUUUAAGUCAGUAAGGGUUGUUGUAGACUACGACGUAGAUAGGUCU
This 1660-nucleotide ribosomal RNA is filed under the name Haemophilus influenzae. RNAcentral's name for it is "bacterial LSU rRNA". It matches the Rfam family "Bacterial large subunit ribosomal RNA", at positions 1221 to 2863 of the family's 2925-position model. The record is from RNAcentral. Lineage: Bacteria; Pseudomonadati; Pseudomonadota; Gammaproteobacteria; Pasteurellales; Pasteurellaceae.